Molecule: long non-coding RNA, 1158 nt
Filed under: Homo sapiens (human)
Lineage: Eukaryota; Metazoa; Chordata; Mammalia; Primates; Hominidae
Description: HSALNT0182578
Source: RNAcentral
AGACGGAAGUGGAGCGAGGACAAAAUGGCUGCGAAGGUUGUUGCUCCCCUCCCCCACCCACGUCCGAAUCCUCCUUUCCAUGCCCCACCUUCGUGUUCCAGACGGGCCUCUAAGUGCCCCGGGUUUCGCGAAUCUGUAUUUCAUAGCGUGGCUUUGGACAAGGGCUGACCCCGAGGGGCUGGGGCGAAGGUUCCGGCUUCAGGGUGCCACUAGGGCUGCUCGCUCACGGCCCCCCAGGAUUGGGAUUGGAGGGAGCCGCCAGGCCGCCGCGGGGUGGGGCGGGUUAGCUCGGCAGGCCUCCCAGCACCUGCAUUUCCCUACGGCAACUGUCGGGAGGCAGCCCCCGACGCAGAGGUUUAAGGGGCCCGGCUUUUCAGAACCGCCUCAGGACGCGGUCGUGUCUGGAUCCCUCCGCGGAAAAGAAGGCGAAACCGCUUCUCUGAGCCCUGACCGUUAGGCCCCUUCCCACCUCCGUCUAGAACAGAUUCGGCUUCUUGGCUCAGUCCUUCCCCAACUAGCCCAAGCCCUACAUUUCCCCGUUGUUUAUAAAAUAAACAGGUUUAAAUGGUGGCGAGUGUGUUCUUGGUUAGGUGAACCAGGCAUUAGGAAUCAUAGGUUCCAGUAGCCGUGCGUCCUUGAUUUAGACUUUCUGAACGUUUGUAUUUUCAGUAACAUGAGGUGAUAUCUUUCCUGGUUUGACUUUCAUCAAAAAUUAAACGACAGACCAUACCGACGCUUUGAAAACGUGACUGAGCUGGUGCACAAAACAAUGGUGCCUAGAAUUUUGAAUUGUGCAAUGUUGUGCAUGGCCGCGGAUAUGUGGGGCCUUGUGGUUCCAAGAGCCUGUCUCAGGUGUACCGGCCCUCAUCACUGGGCUUCAGAGGUUCAAUCUGCAAGGAGGCAUCUCCUGCCAGGAAAUUGGAAGCAAAGGCCACUCGGCCCUUCUGUUCCUCAGUCAAGUUAUUGUAGACAUGACGACUGGAGUAAGUGAUCACCUGUGGGAUAGACCGAGGCAGAGUCAAGCAGCGUAACUCUCAGCCUGCCUUUCCUGAUGGUGUGAAGAAGAGGAAAGGGAGUACUCCCAGUGGCACAAAGUAGUCAAGCCUGGGGCUGAGAGUCCAAGAGACCUCUGUUCUAAAUAAAAGUUAAAAAUACAGU